RNAcentral lists this unclassified non-coding RNA (254 nucleotides) under uncultured Gemmatimonadota bacterium. Its description in RNAcentral is "uncultured Gemmatimonadetes bacterium contains 16S-23S intergenic spacer region". It matches the Rfam family "Bacterial small subunit ribosomal RNA", at positions 524 to 776 of the family's 1533-position model. Lineage: Bacteria; Pseudomonadati; Gemmatimonadota. The record is from RNAcentral.
UACAGAGGGUGCAAGCGUUGUUCGGAAUUACUGGGCGUAAAGCGCACGUAGGCGGCUUUUUAAGUCUCACUGUGAAAUCCCGGGGCUCAACUCCGGGGCUGCAGGGGAUACUGGGAAGCUUGAGACCAGUAGAGGCGAGUGGAAUUCCGGGUGUAGCGGUGGAAUGCGUAGAGAUCCGGAAGAACACCAGAGGCGAAGGCGGCUCGCUAGGCUGGUUCUGACGCUGAGGUGCGAAAGCGUGGGGAGCGAACAGG